This 253-nucleotide ribosomal RNA is filed under the name uncultured bacterium. Its description in RNAcentral is "partial 16S ribosomal RNA". It matches the Rfam family "Bacterial small subunit ribosomal RNA", at positions 524 to 776 of the family's 1533-position model. The record is from RNAcentral.
UACGGAAGGGGCAAGCGUUGUUCGGAAUCAUUGGGCGUAAAGGGCGCGCAGGUGGCUCUGUAUGUCUGCCGUGAAAGCAUACAGCUCAACUGUAUUGUGUCGGUAGAAACUGCAGGACUUGAGGCUGGGAGGGGCUGGUGGAAUUCCCUGUGUAGCGGUGAAAUUCGUAGAUAUCGGGAGGAACACCGGUGGCGAAGGCGGCGACCUGGGUCGAGACUGACGCUGAGGCGCGAAAGCUAGGGGAGCGAACGGG